GGCAAAAUUGGAGGGGUGCUGACCACAGCUGGAGCUGUAUUGCUGUACAGGCAGCUGAUUGCCUGCACUCUUCUUCAGCAUCAGGAUGUUAACUGUGUCGGGUGCUCAAUGCGGUGGGCUGAUGCAAUCAGCAGCAACUUGGACAUGCAUCAUGACCUGGAUGGGAUGCACCAGGGCCUCCUGUGGCUGGAGGGAAGCAUGGGGGCGCUUCAAGACCAGGUGCAGCUUCCCAUUUUUCUGACCCUGGACAACAAGGGCAGGAAAGAGGCGCUAAUUGACAGGCUGGAGGACUCUUCUAAACUGUGUGACAUUGGCGAAGACAGGGACGCAGCACUGGAUGCGAGGGACGCCGCAAGGGCUGCAGUCAUGGACCCUUUCUUGUUCAAAUUCAAGAAUGUUGAGGACAUGAACACAUUCAUGGCAAAUAUGGAGAGGAGGGGUGUGGGACUCCAUUGUUGUGUGUGAACUUUCCCCCUCUCUCCUCCAUUUUGUUUAGGCUGUCCUGUAAAGUUGAUCAAAUGUCACAAACGUGCACCCCUCUGGCUCUAAGUCCUU
Molecule: long non-coding RNA, 555 nt
Organism: Engraulis encrasicolus (European anchovy)
Lineage: Eukaryota; Metazoa; Chordata; Actinopteri; Clupeiformes; Engraulidae
Exons: 3
Source: RefSeq, a predicted model, not a curated record